Molecule: transfer RNA, 63 nt
Filed under: Bathysciadiidae sp. MNHN-IM-2013-40843
Lineage: Eukaryota; Metazoa; Mollusca; Gastropoda; Bathysciadiidae
Description: tRNA-Trp
Source: RNAcentral
AAAAUCUUAAGUUAAAAAAACUAAUAGCCUUCAAAGCUAAUAAUAAGCUUUGCUUAGAUUUUG